RNAcentral lists this ribosomal RNA (301 nucleotides) under uncultured bacterium. Its description in RNAcentral is "partial 16S ribosomal RNA". It matches the Rfam family "Bacterial small subunit ribosomal RNA", at positions 509 to 809 of the family's 1533-position model. The record is from RNAcentral.
CAGCAGCCACGGUAAUACGUAGGUCCCGAGCGUUGUCCGGAUUUAUUGGGCGUAAAGCGAGCGCAGGCGGUUAGAUAAGUCUGAAGUUAAAGGCUGUGGCUUAACCAUAGUACGCUUUGGAAACUGUUUAACUUGAGUGCAAGAGGGGAGAGUGGAAUUCCAUGUGUAGCGGCGAAAUGCGUAGAUAUAUGGAGGAACACCGGUGGCGAAAGCGGCUCUCUGGCUUGUAACUGACGCUGAGGCUCGAAAGCGUGGGAAGCAAACAGGAUUAGAUACCCCGUAGUCCCUGUCUCUUAUACAC